RNAcentral lists this ribosomal RNA (411 nucleotides) under uncultured bacterium. Its description in RNAcentral is "bacterial SSU rRNA". It matches the Rfam family "Bacterial small subunit ribosomal RNA", at positions 355 to 794 of the family's 1533-position model. The record is from RNAcentral.
UCGAGAAUCUUCCGCAAUGGACGAAAGUCUGACGGAGCGACGCCGCGUGGUUGAUGAAGUCCUUAGGGACGUAAAACCUUUUAUGAAGGAGAUGUUACUUCAUGAAUAAGGGGCUCCCAAUUCUGUGCCAGCAGGAGCGGUAAUACAGAAGCCCCAAGCAUUACCCGGAAUCACUGGGGUAAAGGGUGCGUAGGCGGUUAUAUUAGUCGGGUGUAAAUCCUGGGGCUCAACCUCAGAAUCGCAUUCGAAACGGUAUAACUAGAGAAGUGAGAGGUGUGCGGAACUCAAGGUGUAGGGGUGAAAUCCGUUGAUAUCUUGGGGAACACCAAAUGCGAAGGCAGCACACUGGCACUCUCUCGACGCUGAGGCACGAAAGCGUGGGUAGCGAAUGGGAUUAGAUACCCCGGUAGU